UGCGUAGGGUGCAAGCGUUGUCCGGAAUUAUUGGGCGUAAAGAGCUCGUAGGCGGUCUGUCGCGUCUGCUGUGAAAACUCAGGGCUUAACCCUGAGCUUGCAGUGGGUACGGGCAGACUAGAGUGCGGUAGGGGAGACUGGAAUUCCUGGUGUAGCGGUGAAAUGCGCAGAUAUCAGGAGGAACACCGGUGGCGAAGGCGGGUCUCUGGGCCGAUAUUGACGCUGAGGAGCGAAAGCGUGGGGAGCAAACAGG
RNAcentral lists this ribosomal RNA (253 nucleotides) under uncultured bacterium. RNAcentral describes it as "partial 16S ribosomal RNA". It matches the Rfam family "Bacterial small subunit ribosomal RNA", at positions 524 to 776 of the family's 1533-position model. The record is from RNAcentral.